This 254-nucleotide ribosomal RNA is filed under the name uncultured bacterium. Its description in RNAcentral is "partial 16S ribosomal RNA". It matches the Rfam family "Bacterial small subunit ribosomal RNA", at positions 523 to 776 of the family's 1533-position model. The record is from RNAcentral.
AUACGAAGGGGGGCUAGCGUUGCUCGGAAUCACUGGGCGUAAAGGGCGCGUAGGCGGCGUUUUAAGUCGGGGGUGAAAGCCUCGUGGCUCAACCACAGAAUGGCCUCGAUACUGGGACGCUUGAGUAUGGUAGAGGUUGGUGGAACUGCGAGUGUAGAGGUGAAUUCGUAGAUAUUCGCAAGAACACCGGUGGCGAAGGCGGCCAACUGGACCAUUACUGACGCUGAGGCGCGAAAGCGUGGGGAGCAAACAGG